RNAcentral lists this long non-coding RNA (404 nucleotides) under Malus domestica (apple). Its description in RNAcentral is "long non-coding RNA (MDOM_LNC012761)". The record is from RNAcentral. Lineage: Eukaryota; Viridiplantae; Streptophyta; Magnoliopsida; Rosales; Rosaceae.
AUGUUGCCCCUUGAUUGGUUAUGGCCUUGAUAUCCCCAAACAUCUUCAUUUGCAUAAAAUUGAGGACUUUGAUAACCUUGCCCAUAGGGCACAAUCAAAUGUUAGGGACACUUGGCAUUGUGGUCCGUUCGGCAUUAUGAGUCAAUUGAGCAGUGAGCUGUGCCAAUUGAGCUUGAAUGAUCGCAAGUGCCAUGUCUCGCUCCAUUUGUACCUAAAAUCAAAGGAAGAAAAAAUAAAUCAAAUAUCAAAAGUAACACAAAACAAGGAAAACAAAACUAAGUCAGAAAUUAAAACAAAAACAAACUAAACAAAAAGAAAAGAACCAAGGGAUUAGCAAAGUUUGCUAAUCCCCGGCAAACGGCGCCAAAAAUUUGAUGCGAAAAUAUAUAAGCACACAAAUUAAA